AUCGCUUCUCGGCCUUUUGGCUAAGAUCAAGUGUAGUAUCUGUUCUUAUCAGUUUAAUAUCUGAUAUGUCCCCUAUAUGGGGAUAACGUAUUAAACCCAUUUUUAGGAGAGGGAGCUGAAAAGGGAGCUUGCUCCGCUCACUCCGCUCACUCCACGCAUCGACCUGGCAUUGCAGUGCCGCCGGGAACGGUGCACCUUUC
This is a small nuclear RNA of Toxotes jaculatrix (banded archerfish), 200 nucleotides long. RefSeq annotates it as U2 spliceosomal RNA. Lineage: Eukaryota; Metazoa; Chordata; Actinopteri; Toxotidae. The transcript has a single exon. The record is from RefSeq and is a predicted model, not a curated record.